Molecule: ribosomal RNA, 403 nt
Filed under: uncultured bacterium
Lineage: Bacteria
Description: partial 16S ribosomal RNA
Rfam family: Bacterial small subunit ribosomal RNA
Source: RNAcentral
AUCGAACGCUGGCGGCAGGCCUAACACAUGCAAGUCGAGCGAGCGGCGGACGGGUGAGAAAUGUAUGGGGACUGCCCGAUAGAGGGGGAUAACUACUGGAAACGGUGGCUAAUACCGCAUACUAUCGGAUAACCCAUGUGGGCUUGGUUAGUAGGUGGGGUAAAGGCGCACCAGGGCGACGAUCUCUAGCUGGUCUGAGAGGAUGAUCAGCCACACUGGGAGUGAGACACGGCCCAGACGCCUACGGAGGCAGCAGUGGGGAAUAUUGCACAAUGGGCGAAAGCCGGCUGCAGCAAGGCGGCGUGUAUGAAGAAGGCCUUAGGGUUGUAAAGUACUUUCAGCGGGGAGGCGUUACCCGCAGAAGAAUCGCCGGCUAACUCCGUGCCAGCCGCCGCGGUAAUUC